GUGGGGAAUAUUGGACAAUGGGCGAAAGCCUGAUCCAGCCAUGCCGCGUGUGUGAAGAAGGUCUUCGGAUUGUAAAGCACUUUAAGUUGGGAGGAAGGGCAGUAAGUUAAUACCUUGCUGUUUUGACGUUACCGACAGAAUAAGCACCGGCUAACUUCGUGCCAGCAGCCGCGGUAAUACGAAGGGUGUAAGCGUUAAUCGGAAUUACUGGGCGUAAAGCGCGCGUAGGUGGUUUUGUAAGUUGGAGGUGAAAUCCCCGGGCUCAACCUGGGAACUGCCUCCAAAACUGCAUGACUAGAGUACGGUAGAGGGUAGUGGAAUUUCCUGUGUAGCGGUGAAAUGCGUAGAUAUAGGAAGGAACACCAGUGGCGAAGGCGACUACCUGGACUGAUACUGACACUGAGGUGCGAAAGCGUGGGGAGCAAACAGGAUUAGAGACCCCGGUAGUCC
Molecule: ribosomal RNA, 450 nt
Filed under: uncultured bacterium
Lineage: Bacteria
Description: partial 16S ribosomal RNA
Rfam family: Bacterial small subunit ribosomal RNA
Source: RNAcentral